This 2638-nucleotide unclassified non-coding RNA is filed under the name Leishmania donovani. RNAcentral describes it as "gene:LdHU3.11.1260(CDS-product:hypothetical_prote in_conserved)". The record is from RNAcentral. Lineage: Eukaryota; Euglenozoa; Kinetoplastea; Trypanosomatida; Trypanosomatidae.
UCCGCAGCAGGCCCGUCUACUACUUGCGUUUUUUUGUUCUUCACUCCCGACCCUGUUUUUCUCCUUGCGCGACAUGUCCAAGUCUAUUGCUGUAAUCGCUGCGGGUGCCCCCGCUGCUCUGGUGCAGGCUGCGUCCGCCAUGGUGUCCAAGGCAACUGGUGGUGCCGUGAAGGCGAUGCAGGCGACCUCGGCUGCGUCCAAUGCCAUCGUUGUCGGCAUGCAGGCCCCGCUUGGCGUGUACGCGUGCGUCGCCGAGCCGCCUAGCACGGCCAGUGGCCCAUAUGCAGGCGUGAAGACGGUUGUGGUGCGCGCCAUCCUCCCGCGCCGCGCGCCUGACACGAUGCAGGUGCGCGACAUACUGGACGUGUAUCCGGCCUCCGGCAUUACAUGCGAGAAAGAGACAGCAGAGGCGGUGGAGAACUUCAACAAGGCGGCCAAGGUGGCUGUAGAGAAGGCGAAGGCAAUGAAGGCGACGCGCGUGACGCUCGUAAUGAAGCCGGUGACCAAGUACGAGCGCCUAAAUGGCCUCUUCCGCGAGACGUGUACCAAGACGAUCGAGGCAGCCGGCCUUUCCGUCGAGACUUCCACCACGGCUGCGGCGACGAACACCCUCAUCAUGUUUCCGGAGAAGAUGAGCGUUGUUAUGGUGAGCGACGACCCCGUCUGCGAGAACGUGCAGUACGCGUUUGCCGGCGUCGUCGGCGGCGUUCACACCACCUACUAUACCGACGCCGGUAGUAAGAUCCACGGAGGACACAGCUACAAGUCCGUCGCGAUGGCGCUGGCGGAGGAGCUUAGGUCCUUAGGCAUGAAGGCGGAGGCAGCGAAGGUGGAGGCGGCCGCACAGAAGAGCCCCCGCAAUGCGGCUGCUGCCAUGUAGUGGCCAGCAGUGACGACGAGCCAUGACGAGAGGCGCUGGGGCAGUAAUGGUGUUGGUGGCGGACGGGAGGGCGCGAUGACGGCGGCGAGGCAAGCACGCUUGCUCGUCGUGUGUUGCUGCGACUCGUGCACUGUCGCCCCGCGGCGUCUCUCCUGCACGCCAUCGCGUGCCUUUUUUUUUUCAUUUCGUUCCCCUCCAUUGUGAACGCGCGUUUCGCAUUUGAUCAAUGAAGUUAGUGGACUUUAGUAGCCGUAGUGGGUGUUACGAGGGCUGGGGCAGGGCGGACAAGGGGAGGCGCCAGCAGCAAAGCAGAGAGGCGAAAGGCAGGCGGAUGGGGGCCUGGGAGGUGCCCAGGCCAUGCCCACCUCAAGCAGCGGCCAUCGGAAACGGAGCUUGUAUGCUGGUCCUUCUUUUUUUUUUCGCGACGACGCCCCUCGCUUCCUCCAGCCCCUGCUCCUCCGCUUUCUCCCUCUUCGCUUGCCGCUGCUCUCCACCUGCGUCCCCUACCCUUGUAUGUGGCCAGUAUCGCGCACAAGCACGGUGGGGAGGGGGUACCACGUAGGCAAGAGAAAGGGCGGGGGGAGGCCGGGGAAGCAGACGGAGAGCAGCGGAAGCAUCAGCUGUACGCCCCAAUACGUGCAAGCAAGCACAGACACCGGCACUCAUUCUCAUUCCUAAUGCCCUUCCUCUCUCUCUUGUCCGUAUCCUUUUUUCGCUCCGCCUGAAUUCUGUUGUUGCACACGCGUGCUUGCGGCGGAUGUGCCCGUGAGAGCGAAGACGUUCUGGGAGGGGGGAGGAGGCAGGGAGGGGAGCGCAGGAUUUCUCGAGCAUCGGUGUUGUAGCCUUCGAUGUGCUGUGUGAUGCGGGCUUCUAUGGCCGGUGUUUUUCUUUUCGCGUCAUCCUCACAGCAACCGGUGAAGUAGUAGCGGAUGCCUGAUCCUUUUUUCGCUUCCAUUUUUCUCUUCGGUCCUUUGUCUGUGCGAGACGGCCCGUGCGCGGCGGCGGGGAGGCGAAGGUGUAUGCGAACACAAACCCCGACUGGAAGGACUAGUAACGGGCGAAGCAACGAUAAGCAACAAGAAUGAGCAGAGCAUGAGAGCGCGUAUCUCCUGCGCUUCCAGCCAUCCUUAUCCCUCUCGCCACCUCCACAUGCUGGCCCAACGCUUCUUGCGAGCGACUCGAGCGGGCUGUCGCCACGCGCGUUGGUCCACAUGUGUGAGUGACGGAGCUAGUGCCCCGCCCGCGCUCUCUCCGUGCCUGAUGGCUGAUGCACGCGAGCGAGCAGAGAGGGCACGGAGUAGAGCUCUGCGUGCCCUUCAUCUGAUCGGGGCCGGGACAUCACCGCUGGCUCGUAGCCGACCCCUCGCACGAGGUCAUGUUGAUGCAGAUCACCUUCCACGUAAGUGCACGCGUUCACUUACGCUCACGCAAAGACAUGGGCCAACGCCAGGAACCACACUACCGUGAGCCACAUGCUCAUGCCAGUUAUCCUGACAACACCUCUUCUUCACCUUUGUUUUCUGUCGCUCUCGCGUUGCUCACCGCCCUCUCUCUUCGAAUGCCCACUCACACGCACGAAUUGGGCAUCGCUGCACUGCUUACGUUUCUGCCACCUACCAUGUACCGAACCUCCCCUCCUCCGCCUUUUUUGUCCCGUACGCACGCUCACUUGCCAUGCGUGCUUGUGUAUGUGUGUGCUGAUGUGGCCGUGCUCCGUUGAUUUCUUUCACUGUCUCACCAUGACAACUCCACGCGAAG